Molecule: ribosomal RNA, 315 nt
Filed under: uncultured eukaryote
Lineage: Eukaryota
Description: partial 18S ribosomal RNA
Rfam family: Eukaryotic small subunit ribosomal RNA
Source: RNAcentral
CCCUUAGAUGUUCUGGGCCGCACGCGCGCUACACUGACCAGUGCAACAAGCAUCCGUCCUUGGCCGACAGGCCCGGGCAAUCUUUGAACGCUGGUCGUGAUGGGGAUAGACUUUUGCAAUUUUUGGUCUUCAACGAGGAAUUCCAAGUAAACGCAAGUCAUCAACUUGCAUUGAUUACGUCCCUGCCCUUUGUACACACCGCCCGUCGCACCUACCGAUUGAAUGGUCCGGUGAAGCCUCCGGAUUGGCGCGCACCUCGGUGCCGCCGAGAAGUUGGCUAAACCUUACCAUUUAGAGGAAGGUGAAGUCGUAACA